AUUGAACGCUGGCGGCAGGCCUAACACAUGCAAGUCGAGCGAGCGGCGGACGGGUGAGUAAUGCCUGGGAAUUGCCCAGUCGAGGGGGAUAACAGUUGUAAACGACUGCUAAUACCGCAUACGAUGGGAUUGCCCAGCUGGGAUUAGCUAGUUGGGGAGGUGAUGGCGCACCAAGGCGCCGAUCCCUAGCUGUUCUGAGAGGCUGGUCUGCCACACUGGAACUGAGCCACGGGCCAGACUCCUACGGGAGGCAGCCGUGGGUAAGAUUGCACAAUGGGGGAAACCCUGAUGCAGCCAUGCCGCGUGUGUUACGAAGGCCUUCGGGUUGUAAAGCACUUUCAGCGAGGAGGCGUUACUCGCAGAAGAAGCACCGGCUAACUCCGUGCCAGCAGCCGCGGUAAUUC
Molecule: ribosomal RNA, 404 nt
Filed under: uncultured bacterium
Lineage: Bacteria
Description: partial 16S ribosomal RNA
Rfam family: Bacterial small subunit ribosomal RNA
Source: RNAcentral